UCGCCGCUUUGACCCUGACACCCCAUAUCAUCAGUCUCGCCUGGCCGUGCUCAACCUUAAUUCUUCCCGGAACGAGUCCUUCCGCGGCCGGUGGCGACCGCCGCUUCUAUUGUCCUCUGCGACUCCGCCUAGAUUCGAUUUGGCUCCUCCUGUCCGUCUCCUUCCUCUCAUGGAUUAGUGGAUCUUCCAUUUUUCUGGACUGAAGCAGCUACCUCGACUUCAGUCCGCAGCCGCCUGGCGAGUUACGGUUCGAACCAUCUACCUCAACCUCAGUCCGCAGCCUCCUCCGGAGGUCCUCCGGCUCGCUAGCACUACCUCCCCGCCUGCAGGUGGCCUCACGAGGACGUUCGGAUCCGUAUGGAUGUGGAAGGGGAAGAAGAGAGGGCGUGGGGGAUCAUCCGCGUGAGGAAGAUGAUAUCCCUGCACUAGCUCGGCCUCGACACCGUUAAGGAAUUGAUGUAUGCCCUUCUCGAGCGCCGAUUCCUCUCUCUCCCUGCUUCACCUUUUCUCUCAAGCAGGAGAGGACGCCCCAAGGACGGAGACGGGCCGAUUCCGCACGAGGACGACCAUGCGCGCGUCACGCCGAUGGCUUGACAGAAGCGCUGGUUGUUGCUCGGGAUCAGGGAGCACUGGCUUGCCACGGAGCCGCCCUGCUACCAACGACGAAUCAGUGGGUAAGGUGGGGCGCACAGACGGAUGAGGUCCCGGUGGCGGCGGCCCUCAGGCUUGGCGCUCGGUGAGCGGCUAUUCCUCCCAAUGGAGAUCCAGUUGGAGCGGCCACCGCGGCCGUUGCUUCUCCAUCGCAACUUCAACCAGGGGUCACCGCCAUUUUAUCCAGAAGAGAGAAGAGGAGAGGCGGGUGCCAGGAGCGCCGGUGGUGGCACCAGGUCGACCAUGGCCGGUGUAUCCAUACUCCACACCAAGAUUUUGGCUCCCACGGGUUACCAGCUCAGGUGCUCUCAUAGCAGGUCAGCCACAUAAGCUUCGGGGCGAAUCCAGGGCGCGCGCACGUGAAGGCACGAGUCCGGUGAUCACCUGUACGGAACUGCGGCUUCAAGGUGGACCAUUCCUCUCCUGUCCUUUUUACUUCCCUUGAUUAGAUAAUUUUGCCCGUAUUUUUUUUCUUUUUUCAGUUCAUUCAAGUCAAGCCAUCACUGGUUCACCACAUUGCACGGUGGGGGACUAGGCGUGUGGAAGAACUUGCAAGUUGCAGCCCAUCAUGGCGGUGAUGUUCAAGGCCAAGUCAACAUGCUUCUUGCUGUUGGAGUCUGUGGUGCAGGUCUCCUACGGUGCAGCUCCGCGCAGCGACAAAUUCAUUCAACAUCCUCAAGAAAGAGCUACAGGUCAGUGGAUCAUCCUGGAUUGUUCUGACGGAGGUGGUGCCACCGCCGGAGAACUUUCCUUUGUUUGCCUAUACUGCUCUCCCAUUUAGCAUGUUGCCAGAUCGAAUCGAUCAGAAUAUACUUCUAUCUGACGUUGUUGGAUUGGUGAACAAGGUCACUGAUGUUUUGCCCCUUUCUGGUAAUGCUAGGAGCUAGAAACGUCAAGUGUAUAUCACAGAUGGCAGCGAGCAUGCUAUUGCUACCCUUUGUGGGGACCAGGCUGAUUUAUUUGAUGCUUAUGGGUUGAUUGAGGCAUCGGAUGAGGAGCCUAUUAUCGUUUUAUUUGUUAGCAUGACAGUUAUUCACUGCUCAGGUAGUCAGGUUUAUUGGCCUUCAAGAAUACACCUGUUACAAGAUGGCAUGUUAAUGUGCCGAUUCUAGAGAUAGCUGAUGUUCGGGAGAGUUCGAAACAUCUACCGUGGUGCAUUGAGCUGCACAGUGCAAAUUAAAGUCGCGCUGAGCAGACCAUAUCAUCAAUCUUGGAGAUGGUGGAAUUUGAUCCGAAUGAGUCCUACUGUGCAUCUUUUUCUCCCCUACAUUCUCUGGUUAAAUCUGUUGUUAAUUGUGUGUAGGGUGAGCGUUAUAAGAUAUCCAUUAGAAUUACUGACCUUCUCACAACUAAGGGUUGUAUUAUAUAAGCUGCAAAUAAUGUUGGAAGAUGAUUACUUUAGAGGAUGGAGUAUACGAACGCCCUUGGUGCCCCUCUGCCCAGGUAUAGGCUUAUUGUUGGAGUAGUUGACGCUGGUUCGACAGAUCCCCACGCUGCCAAAUUUACAGACCUUUAUUUGUCUGGGCCACUUGGACAAACUCUCUUCCAAAAAGAGGCGUUGCUGCUUAUGUCAAGUGUAAAAGGACUGGCUAAUGUUGCGCCCAAGGAUUUACUUGAGAAAUCAGUGUUGUUGCAACCCUGGACGUGAAUAACUAGAUUCAUUGCACAACCACCUCCAGGUAGAAAUUGUUGAGCCGAUUGUCUUUGCCAAUGUUGUCUUGCGAGAGGGAGUGGAUGGUUCAGCCGUAGGUUAGCACAAUGUUGGCCUCCCUACUCCUGAAACCCCAAAGCAGGUUCCAGGUCCCAUGCUGAGACACCAACUCCUCCACCGUCUAUGGAUCUCACGCUACAGACUGCAGGCAACAACUUCAGCUUCUGUUAUUGAUAAUGAGAAAAAAAUGCAAUUUAAGUUUUU
This is a long non-coding RNA of Lolium rigidum, 2566 nucleotides long. RefSeq lists it as uncharacterized. The record is from RefSeq and is a predicted model, not a curated record. Lineage: Eukaryota; Viridiplantae; Streptophyta; Magnoliopsida; Poales; Poaceae. The transcript is spliced from 9 exons.